CCUACGGGAGGCAGCAGUGAGGAAUAUUGGUCAAUGGGCGCGAGCCUGAACCAGCCAAGUAGCGUGAAGGAUGACUGCCCUACGGGUUGUAAACUUCUUUUAUAAAGGAAUAAAGUGAGGCACGUGUGCCUUAUUGUAUGUACUUUAUGAAUACGGCUCGGCUAACUCAGUGCCAGCAGCCGCGGUAAUACGGAGGGGCCGAGCGUUAUCCGGAUUUAUUGGGUUUAAAGGGAGCGUAGAUGGGUUGUUAAGUCAGUAGUGAAAGUUUGCGGCUCAAACGUAAAAUUGCAAUUGAUACUGGCAGUCUUGAGUACAGUUGAGGUAGGCGGAAUUCGUGGUGUAGCGGUGAAAUGCUUAGAUAUCACGAAGAACACCGAUUGCGAAGGCAGCUUACUAAACUGCCACUGACAUUGAUGCUCGAAAGUGUGGGUAUCAAACAGGAUUAGAUACCCCUGUAGUC
Molecule: ribosomal RNA, 460 nt
Filed under: uncultured bacterium
Lineage: Bacteria
Description: partial 16S ribosomal RNA
Rfam family: Bacterial small subunit ribosomal RNA
Source: RNAcentral